UGUCACAGAGUAAUUCAUUGCCAGGCGG
This 28-nucleotide non-coding RNA is filed under the name Mus musculus (house mouse). Lineage: Eukaryota; Metazoa; Chordata; Mammalia; Rodentia; Muridae. The record is from RNAcentral.